RNAcentral lists this long non-coding RNA (13301 nucleotides) under Ananas comosus (pineapple). RNAcentral's name for it is "long non-coding RNA (ACOM_LNC003956)". Lineage: Eukaryota; Viridiplantae; Streptophyta; Magnoliopsida; Poales; Bromeliaceae. The record is from RNAcentral.
ACUGGUCUGAUAAAUACUCUCGUCCUCUAUCAGUACGUAGAACUUUUAGAGUUCUUUCUGUUUGGUUCUCAACCUCCACUAAGAAGCGUUUAAAAUAAUCUAAAGCUUCUGAACGGUGAGACAACAGAUAUACCGAACUAUAACGGGAGUAGUCAUCAAUGAAAGUGAGGAAAUAGUACGCGCCAUGACGUGCUCUCAAAUUCAUAGGUCCGCAUAUGUCUGAAUGAACUAGCUCCAAUGGAUGAGUUGCUCUACGUGCCUUACCAAAAGGCUUUCUGCAGGCUUUUCCUGCUAAACAUGGUUCACAAGGAGGUAGGCUAAGCUUAGCGAGUGACCCCAAUAGGCCUUCUCUAGCUAGUCGAGCCAUUCUUUCUUGUCCAAUGUGACCCAAUCUCGCAUGCCCUUUGAUAGAAUCAGAUACAAUAUCAGAAGAAACUAAUAAAGCAGAAUUAUUGUUAUGAUUAAUAAAAUCCAAGUCCAAAUCUAAGAGAAAGAAAUCAAUUUUUAAACAACCAUUACCAUAAAAGUUCUUGCCCAAAUAAAUAUCUAACUGAGUAUCCGUAAAUUGGAAAGAAAAACCUAAUCUAAGUAAAGCUAAAACUGUGAGUAGAUUACAUCGGAUGUUCGGUGAAUACAGCACAUCAUGUAAUAUCAAAUAACGACCAUUGCGCAAUCUAUGUUGGUAUGCGCCAAUUCCAAGGACUUCUUCCUCAGUGCCGUUUCCCAUCAUGACAUAAUGGCUGCUAACAAACACCCGACGAUAAUCCACAUAUCCUGCUCGAUCUCUCGUUACAUGCUUUGUUGCUCCUGUGUCUACAAUCCAAUCAGAGAGAGCGUGAGCAACAAAAAUGUGCGAGCAUACAUAAAUAANACCAAUUCACUUAAAGCGUAUAGAAACAGCGUCCACGGGUCUCGAUUGUGACUCGGCCCACCUGGCCUCACGCCACUUCGAACAUGACUCGGCCCAACCCAGCCUCACGCCAUUUUGAACAUGACUCGGCCCACAUGGCCUCCCGCCACAGGGCAGGAUGCUGGCCCAUUUAAGCCAACAUUAAGUUCUCUUAUUAUAGCAGACAUCACCCUUAAGUGCUCUACCAUAGAAUGCUUCGGGUCCAACAAGUAUUGAUUGAAUUUGAGAUUCAAUGCACGAAGUCUUGUGGUCGAUGUGGCCCCAUAUUUCACUUUUAGCUGCUCCCACAUAUUUUUAGCAGUCUCAUAAUUCUGAAAUUCUUUAAUCAAAUCAUCGUGCAUACAGCUCAACAUUGUAUAGCGUGCACUUCGAUCUUUCUCAAGCCACUCGUUGUAGGCUUGCAAAUCGCGACGGUGUUGAGCCGUCGUGUACUGUUGGUUAAAUGACUAAGUAUUCCUUUCUCAUUAAGGAGAUAUUGAAUUUUCCUAUGCCACAUGUCAUAAUUCGUUCCAUCGAGCCGAUUUUGAUUUAACGAAUCCACGAUGGAACAAUUUUUGGAAGCUAUUUAUCACUACAAUAAUGCACAUAAUUUUAAAUUAGGCACAAAUAUCCACAAUAUUAUUCUCAAUCCAAUUUGAUUAUAAAAUUUCUCACUGCAUCUUUAAAUCGAAAAUUUCGCCUUUGAAAAGACUAAUAAUCAUCUCAUCCAAUGCAAAAAAAAUAAUAAAUCAAAUUAAUUAAGAAUAAAUCCACGUCACAAAUUAAAUGAUGAACAUUAUGCAAUCAUUAUGCAAUUUAAUCAAAAUAACACAUUGCAAUUUAUGAAGCAAUCAUAACUUAUAUAAGACAGCAAGAAAUAAUAUAUAAAAGUUAACAUGUAAAUUUUAAAGAAGCAAUAUUGAUCCUAGUGGUUUGAUGAAGUAGGCCUAAAGCUUAGGGUUGAGGUAGGGGUGUAAAACGGGCCGGGCGGCACGUGGCCCGCCCGGCCCGGCACGGCUGCGGGCCGGGCCGGCAGCACUCGGGCGAUGCUUGGCUAUUUUGAAGACGACGGCCGGCACGGGCGGCCGAAAGGGCUUGGGCCGUGCGCUGGGCGUAGGAGAAGGCCGUGGUCAGGCACGGCACGCCGCUUGGGCCGUGCAGCCGGCCCACGGCCCGAGAACCAGGCCAAGGCAAGUUGCUUGGCCUGGGGUUUUGCUCUCCUUGGGUGGAGUGCCUUGACUGUCCAAGGAUGAGCUCCUUCCCAAGGUCUGCCUAGGACCUUGGGGGUGAUUUUGGCAAUGGACAAGCAAUUUUGGUCAUUGGCCAAAACCUUCUCAACUUUUUUUUUUUUUCAAAAAAGAAGUCAAAUAUUUAAUAAAUUUAAAAUUAUUUUUUAUUAUUUUUAUAAUUUUAUUUUUUAAUCAAAAAUCUCGCUUUAUAUAAAUAUAUUUUUGUUUAUUUUUUUUAUAUUUAUGUAUAUUUUAAAAAAUAAAAGGGCGGCCGGAGCACAGGGCCGGCCUCGACGUGCCCUGUGCUUCGGCCAGGUGGCCGUGCUGGCCGGUGUAGGGUUCGGGCUGCCGGCCGCCCGGAUUAGCACGGGCCGGAGCACGGCAUCUAUCCGCCGUCGGCCGUGAAUGUGGGUCGUGACGGCCGGCAGGCACCACAUUACAGCCUAGGUUGAUGAGGUAGUUUCACAGCCUAUAGAACAUGGUUUUACCUGUUUUUAUUUUAGUUUGCGCCAUAAGAUUCCAUCGCGGUUGGACUUGGCCCUGUUGAUGCUAUAGACUAAUAAAACUCAUGGAUUUUAAUUCUUCAUGGGUUUUGUCUAAUAUGAAAUCUGCGAAUCCAGUAAUACAAAAAAAUUCAAGCUUAUUUUAAGCUGUUGGUAAAGAUAGAUUCCACCAGAUUUAUGUAUAAUAAUUAAUGGGGUCUAAGAUUGUUACAAUUUUCAAAUUCAAAGUUCAAAAUGUAAAAUAAAUUUUAAAAAUUUAAAUUAAAAUUCAAAUAUAAGAUUAAAAUUUAAAUUUAAAAUUAAAUAAUCUAAUUUAUUUUAUGUUUUAAAUUUGAAAUUUAAUUUGGAUUGUGAAAUUUAAAAUUUAAAUUUGAACUUUAAUUUUAAUUUAAGUUAUCAUUAACUUUAAAUUAAUUAAUAAUCUUAAUUAAAUUUAAUUUUAAAUUUAAUUUUUAAAUUUCCUAUUUAAAUUUAAAUUUAAUUUAGUUUAAUUUUAAUUUUUGGAAAAUUGAAAUUAACAAUUAAAAUUAAAUUAAUUUGUAACUUUUGAAUUUGAAAUUGAUUGACUUUUUGAAAUCGUUGAAUUUCAGUUCGAAAUUCAACUUUUUGAAUUUGAAAUUUCAGAGUUGAAUUUGAAUUUCAUAAGAUUGAAAUUUGAAAUUUAAUGUUGAACUUUUGAAUUCUGGAAUUUGAAUUUGAAAUUUGAAAUUUGAAAUUUGAGCAUGAAUUUAAAAUUUGAAAUUUGAAUUUGAAUAUUGAAUUUUGAAGGGAAAUUUCAAUUCAUUUAAAUCAAAAUGAAUUGAAUUUUAAUUUUAAUUUGAAUUUAAUUAAUGUUGAAAUUUUAAAUAGAAUUUAUAAUCUUUGGGAGCCCAAAUGUGGAAUUUUUUUUUUUGGUUAAGUGGUUAUAAGUUUACUCUAUUUUUUUGGAGUAUAGUUUAUAAACUAUACUCAAUUAGUUAUUUUUUUUUUUUCGUCCAAACACUUCAUAGGUAUUUUCCUAUCGGGCCGUAGCAUAGAUUAACUUGCUACGUUUUUGAGGGUAUCAAGUGUGUCCUUAAUUUGGUCUCGCGAAGAAAAGGUGUCUUUGCUUGCAUGCACGCCCAUCGCGGACGGGCUCCCGCAUGCCCGUAGGCCCAACUCGAGCGGGUCUUCCGCGAUGGGCUCCCGCAUUCCCGCAGGCCCAACAAGGGUGGGCCACCUAGUAAGCCCAGCGCGGGCGGCCUCGCAAGGCCGCCGGUCUUGCGCAUGCAGGCCGCUGCAGGCCUUGUGCAUGCGGGCUGCCGCAGGCCCUACACGGGCAGGUGCUGGAGGCCCAGCGCAGGUGGCCUCUCAAGCCUACAGGCAGGACGUAGAUCCUGCGCAUGCGACCCUCCGCAAGCCUGGCACGGGUUAGCCUCCAAAACCCAAAGCGGGCAGCAUGUCGGUUAAUUUGCAAAGAUCAAGGAAGCAAUCAUAUGUGAUGUUGACUUGCCAAUUGCGAAUCAAAACUUCACCAACAAUAAUUUUUAUAUUUUUUAACAACAUAAAAAUAUAUUCGAUGUUAAAAAAAACGAAUCAUCGAGUUAAAACAAGAACUACAUGGCUCUGAUACCACUGUUGGAUAAAAUUAAUUAAAUACCCAAAAAUCAAUCGUCGCAAAAAUCACAUAGAUUUUUACAUGCCUCUUUAUGGUGCGGAAUUAAUGUUGUGAUUAUCAGGAUCUGAUCUCGUCUUGUUUUACGAACUCGUUGAUCCGUCAACGUCCUGUCUCAAUUUGUUGCACGUUGUUCUUACUCGUUGCAAUCCGGCUACUAGAGUCGAUCGCCGCCCACCGCCCAAAUCCCUAGGGUUUAUGAUGGUGCCCUAGAGCGAACCCAAGAGAGAGAAUUUUUGUGGAGAGAUGAUUCUUCUUUUUUUUUUUGUUGUCUUUCUUCUGUCGUAUAUGGUCAAUACCUCAUGUAUUUAUAGGCCAUAAGGGAGACGUUAAUCUUAAUCAUAUUCUAACUAAAUCUCACAUAGUUAAAGAUUUAAACAGAUUAGGAUUUAUCUGUUAGAUUUAUUCUUUAUCCCAAAUGGACUAUAAAUAUAACAAAUAAUUAUAAAUAUUUAUUUCUUAUCCCAUAUAGAUUAGAAAUAUUUUAGAUAAGUCCCAAUGUGGACGAAUCCUAACACAAAUAAACAUAUCUAAAGUUGUAGAUCUAUUUUUAAGUUGCAAUAACAAAAAAAAAAAAAAAAUCAUACCUCGUUUGAGUGCGCGCGGGGUGUGGGUAGUUCGGGGCUAUUCGUACAGAGUGAGAAGGGCGGCGCAAGGGAGCGACGGGGGUGUGCGGUGAGGUUCGUGUUGGGGAGUAUAACAAAGAGAGAGAGCUCCGUCUAGACCAAGGUGUAGAGAGAGAGAGAGAGGGAGAGGAAGAAAAAUCUGAGCCUAGCUUGGUCUGGACCAAGGCGUAAAGAGAGAGAGAGAGAGGGAGAGGGAGAAAAAUCUCAGAGAUAGAGNUUCAUAGGAUUAUUUUCCUACCGGCGUAGCAUAGUUUAACUAUGCUACGUUUUUAGAGGUAUCCAAACGGGUCCUUAAUCUUGGUCCAAAAAACGGGUUGCUGGCAUGUGCUUGCAUGCAGGCCCAUCGCGGACGGGCUCCCGCAUGCCCGCAGGCCCAACUCGAGCGGGUCUUCCGCGAUGGGCUCCCGCAUUCCCGCAGGCCCAACAAGGGCGGGCCACCUAGUAAGCCCAGCGCGGGCGGCCUCGCAAGGCCGCUGGUCUUGCGCAUGCAGGCCGCCGCAGGCCUUGUGCAUGCGGGCUGCCGCAGGCCCUACACGGGCAGGUGCUGGAGGCCCAGCUCAGGCGGCCUCUCAAGCCUACAGGCAGGACGUAGAUCGUGUGCAUGCAACCCUCCGCAAGCCUGGCACGGGUUAGCCUCCAAAACCCAAAGCGGGCAGCAUGCGGGUUAAUUUGCAAAGAUGAAGGAAGCAAUCAUAUGUGAUGUUGAUUUGCCAAUUGCGAAUCAAAACUUCACCAACAAUAAUUUUUAUAUUUUUUAACAACAUAAAAAUAUAUUCGAUGUUAAAAAAAUGAAUCAUCGAGCGAAAACAAGAACUACAUGGCUCUGAUACCACUGUUGGAUAAAAUUAAUUAAAUACCCAAAAAUCAAUCGUCGCAAAAAUCACAUAGAUUUUUACAUACCUCUUUAUGAUGCGGAAUUAAUGUUGUAUAUAAUUAUCAGGAUCUAAUCUCGUCUUGUUUUACGAACUCGUUGAUCCACCAACGUCCUGUCUCAAUUUGUUGCACGUUGUUCUUACUCGUUGCAAUCCGGCUACUAGAGUCGAUCGCCGCCUACCGCCCAAAUCCCUAGGGUUUAUGAUGGUGCCCUAAAGCGAACCCAAGAGAGAGAAUUUUUGUGGAGAGAUGAUUCUUCUUUUUUUUUGUUGUCUUUCUUCUGUCGUAUAUGGUCAAUACCUCAUGUAUUUAUAGGCCAUAAGGGAGACGCUAAUCCUAAUCAUAUUCUAACUAAAUCUUACAUAGAUAAAGAUUUAAACAGAUUAUGAUUUAUCUGUUAGAUUUAUUCUUUAUCCCAAGUGGACUAGGAAUAUAACAGAUAAUUAUAAAUAUUUAUUUCUUAUCCCAUAUGGAUUAGAAAUGUUUUAGAUAAGUCCCAAUGUGGACGAAUCCUAACAGCCAUGAUCAUAUAACAUAUAGGGUGCGUUUGGUUCGAGUUAUCCUGGCAGGAUUACAGGCAAUCCUGCCAGGAUAACUGUGUUUGGUUAAUCCGCUAUGUAAUCUAGUCGUUAAUGUAGCAUUACAAAUCGAGCAGGAUUACAUCGAAAAUAUUAACGGGAGUGGGGUCGUGUAUCUUGCAUUACUGAAACCCGUUAAUACUACAUAUUAUAUAAAAUGACAAUUUCACCCUCCAACAACCCCAAAUCUAAUUAACAGCAUUAUUUUCAUCUCUCUCUCGUCUUCCCCCCUCUCUCUCGUAUGCCGCUUUCUCUCGCUCUCUCUCUCUCUCGACGUCUCUCUCUCUCUCUCUCUCUCUUUCUCUCUCUCUCUCUCGCAUGAACACCUAUCAUCUUCUAUUGCGUCGUCCUCCCAGGUAAUCAUCACGAUCUCCUUCCCUCCAUUCGUCAUUUCUGCAAAAAAUAAUAUUCAAAUGACCACAACAAGGGUAAUUUUGAAAAAAACUAUACUUUUAUGUCAGGAUUACUAAAUUUUAUUAACUGAACCAAACGUAUUAAUGCUAUAAGCACUGUAAUCUAGUAUUACAUUACUGCAUUAAACCAAACGCACUAAUACAGCAUCAGUAGUAAUCUGAUGCUAAAAUCUAAGAUACCUGGAUAUGUCGAGAUACUUUGUAAUAUUACAUAACUCGAACCAAACGGGCCCAUAGAGUUAUAUUGCCGUAGUUGUACAUGAUUUGAGAUGAGCAUGUUAGGGAUGGGUAGAUUCUCGGAUAUUGUCAUUCUUUUGUUGUAUAUUAUGAUGCAUGAGAGUUGCAUAAUGUCGGAUUCUAUGUUAUCUUGGGAUGAGUAAAUUGCAUGCUCUUGAAUGUGGAAUAGAACUUAAUAUUGCAAGUCAUAACAUUUCAUGUAUAAAAUUGGAUAUUGGUCGUUAAGAACCCUAGAUAUACAUGUGAACUAGUGGUGAGGCUAGAGUAUGGAUUUAGACAAACCUUGUGUAGCACUAGGUGUAUUGAUAGUUGUAGAACUUGAACCUAGUGACAAGAAUUGAGUGAAAUUUCAAGUGCGAAUGACGGUUUGAGUCAUUUGCAUGUAUAGCAUGACAACUAGCACCUUGUCAUUGGGAUUGAAAUAGAUCCCCAAAGGUUGCUAUUGGGAUUGAAAUAAAUCCCCAAAUAUUGUCACAAGGGUCAGUAGUGAGUUCUUUUGGUUGAGAGAACUAGAUCAUACUCGUAUAGUCUGUUACAGCUUGUGGAGGCCACGACUCCACAAGUAGUGAGUUCUAGAGUGUCACACGAAAAAAGCGGGCGAGGAUCACAGUAGAACCUCCCCAGCAAACAACCAUGGUGGUGGCUCGGGUGUGAAAGAUCUCCUCCCCACAUCGCCAGCCAAGGUGGUGGCUCGGGAGUGAAAGACCUCCCUACUUGGCGGUGUGAGUUGGGUUCGACCUUAGGAUGAGCUGGUAUGAUUGGAUCAUGAGGUAACAGAGGAAGAUAUCUGAGUAUAGUAAGUCUUGUUUUUGGCUACCUUGUGUAGUAUUGUUGUAGUGUCACAUGGUUGGUGACGGGUCGAUUAUGCCUCCUCAACAAACAGGCAAAGGUGGGUGAUUGGGUCGCGUAGCGCCUCCCCACAUGGCUGAGAGGGGUGAGUUGGGCUUGACCUUAUAGCAAGCUUCCUGAUUGGGUCAAGAAUAAGUAAAGGGUCAAGUUGAGCAUAUUGAGCCUUGGAACAUAUCUUUACUCGUAAAGGUAUAGUAGUGUUUAUUCCAAUUUAUGUAUAGUGUAGUUAUUUACUGCUUCUUGAUUUUUGUAUCUACUUAUACUUGAUUAGACAUAGUAGGAAAGUCGGUGAGGUUGGCAGCCGAACACAUUGGAAACUUCUUUUAAUUCUCACCCCUAUUUUGCAGAGCCAACUAUAAGCGAAGUGGCAUCAAACCGAGGCGUGGGUGUUGCGUCUUAGAUUGCAAGGUCACCAAGUGUAGGUUACCCAUGUUCAAGUAAAAGAAAAGAUUGUAAAGGUAUUUGGAACGAAAAUGUAAUUGCAAACAAAUAUUGUAUUUUAAGGAAAUGACAUGUACCAAAUGUUAUAUAUCUAAGUUGGAAAAUAUAUGUAUAAAUGUGAUUGUUCCAAUAUUGUAAUAGUUAGAUUUACAAACUCGCUCUUGUGAUAUGCCCUCAUACAGAACUGUGUUAUGUUGUUUUUUUGUGUGAAAUUCAAUAUAUUUAGUUUUGUUUACGCCUUGGACAGAUAAAAAGAAUUUUGUCUGUUCGGCGAGUUUGUGCACGUGCCUAUGUAGCCUCCACUGUGAAACAGGCAAGGCGUGACAAACUAAAAUAAAACACUGAAAAAUUUACACCCUGUUUGAUUGGGGGUUAAAAGGGGGAAUAAGGGGGUUAUCCUCUCCUUUAACCCCAAACAAAAAAUUUUGGGGGUGGGGUUAGCAACCCAGGAAUAGGGGUGGGAUUAAGUUAAACCCCUAUUCAAUUUUUUAAUAUAAAUAUAAAAUUUAAUUUUAAAAUUUAAAAUUUUAAAAAUUUAUAUAUUUAAAUUUUAGAAUUAAUAUUUUUUUUAAAUUUAAAAUUUAAAAUUAUUAUUUUUAAUUAUUUAAAUUUUAAAAUUGAUAUUUUAUAUUUGUAACUUUAAAUUUUUUAAUUUGAGAUUUAAAAAUAUAGAUAUUAAUUUUGAAUUUUAAAUUUUAAUUUUUAAAUUUUAAAUUAUUAUUUUUAAUUCUUUAAAUUUUAAAUUUGACAUUUUANUUGGAUAAGCAUAAAUUUCUUUUCUAUUUUAGAGAUAAAAAAAUUAAAUAAAUUUUUAAUUAAAAUAUAGAUUCACAGUAGGUAUCUUUCAGUUGGUAAAAAUUUGGAUAAGUAUAUUAUUUUUUCUAUUUUAGAGAUAAAUAGAAAUUAAAAGCUUAUUUCAUUACGUUAUUUAUUUUACGUAAGAAAAGAGAAUCAAUAUUUUUUUCCCGCCAAAAAAUGGGUCUGUCGACAGACCCAAAUUUGUAAUACGUGCUUUUAUAUAUAGUAUAGAUAGUCCGGUUACUAUACUAUCGAUAAUACAAGGCAUUUGGUGGUAUCGAGUUUUCCACCGUUAGAUCUACCCUUUUGACCAUUUUCACCUGUUAGAUCAUACUAUUCAACUAAACACCCACUCAACUCUAGAGGUCCACUAUCAUUCCAACCGGGGAUCAUUAUAAUCCUAACCACAUCACUACAACAGAAUUAGGUUAUAGCGACACAUUUCUGGGACACUUUUUUUGUAAGUGUCUCAUUUAUGCCAAAAUCUUUAAAAAAUUCUACUAAAGCAUAUAUAUAAAGCUCAAUCCAAAAAAAAGUAAAAUAUUACUUUACUCAACCCACCCCACCCAGCCCGUUUGUCCUGAUUACAAACAGAAAAGGAAAAAAAAGAAAAAAAGAAAAAUAGAUCACCAUCUUUCCUUCUCCCCUCACUCAAUCUAUUGAAACCCUAGAUGAUGAGCCCCUCGUUCUCCUCCUCCUCCGUGCCGCAGCCGACGAGGUAGGGUUCCGGCGGUUGCUAAAUUCUUUAAUAAGUGUUGAUAAAUUAGCAGUAUUCUUUUUAAGUUAUACCGUCACUCUUCAAGUGUCACUAUAUACCUAGCGACCCCAGAUAUAACAACACUUUAAAAAAUGUCGGUAAUUUAGCCAGCAACAUUUUUUAUGACUUAUGCUGACUUUUAAAAGUGUCGCUAUAAACCGUUUUUGUUGUAGUGACACUUCCCUUCAUCCAAGGGCCGAAACCUAAUAACACUAAGCGUUUGGUACUAUUAAUAGUAUAGUAGCCUAAUCUAUUUAUAUGUAAAUAAAUAAUAGCACCAAGAAUUUGGAAGUGUUGGUGCUACCAAGUUUUCCACCAUUAGAUGCACUUUGAUCAUUUUCACCUGUUAGAUUAUGCUAUUCCACCAACCACCCACUAAACUAUACUAGGAAACCACUAUCAUCCUAACAACACAAAUCUUAAUCUAAGGGCCGAAAACUUAAUAGCACUAAUGAUGUGGUGCUAUUGGAAACAUUCUAGCCUUAUAUAUAUAUAUAUAUAGCUAGGUUACUAUGUUUUCAAAAGUACAAAUUCUUGCAUACUUAAGUUGUUUUGUAUGAUGGGACAUUCGAUUUGACGAUCAGUUCAUUAGACAUGAUCUAUAGUGUUUGAACUAUCUAUAAACCAAAUUUAUAAUUUUUUUUAUGCUUUGUUUGCCUACAGAACAAGCAGUCUCAAAAUGAACGGUUGAAAAUAAAAAUGUCAUAAAAAACAGCGAUAAAAGAUAAAUUUCAAAUUGAAAGUAUUGAUCUUACUCUUGAUAGUGUGUAAAAUUUUUAAAAAAAGAUUUGGUCUCUAGAUCUUGAAUUUGAUAAUCGUAUGAUCAUUUUUUAAUAGAUUUUUAUUUUCAGACAUUCAUUUUUGGCUAAAUUACAAAAAAUCCCCUGUCAAAACCCGCUUUUUCACUUCCCCCCCCAUCAUUUAAAAACCUACACUUUGCCCCCUUGUAAAAUAAAAAAUGUGCACUUCACCCCCUACCGUUAGGGUUCCGUUAUAAUAUUUUUUUUAUACAAAAAAUAUCCCAUCGCUGUUGCUUCGAUGGCUUCCGGGACGGCGCCCUCGCCGGCCUCGCUCUCCUCCACGAGCUCAACCUCCUCUUUGACCGCCCCCUCGAUGCCAUCUUCCUCAACUCCAACCGCCUCCGCCGCCGCCACCCCAUCCCCGCCAACCUCGGCGACUCCCCGGCCCCAUCGUCGUCCUCGCCCACAACAAACUCGGCGGCUGCAUCCCGCCCUCCAUCGGCCGCAUGGCCUGUUAGUUAUAUGCCCUAUAAGCCAAUCUUGUCAUAACUUAAAGGGUUAAUAUCAGUGUACUUUUCUUUUAUGAUUAAAUCUGGCAUUCUUCAUUUAUAUUACUGCCAAAUGCAUAUUUAUGAAUCGUCCAUAGAAUUAAUAGUAGAAGAAUUAAAUUUCUAAGAAGUUAGAAAUUUGACACNUAAAUUUGAGAUUUAAAAAUAUAGAUUUUAAUUUAAAUUUUAAAUUUUAAAUUAUUAUUUUUAAUUAUUUAAAUUUUAAAUUUAAAUUUAAAUAUAAUAAUUGGGGCAAAAUUAUUAUUUUCUAUUUAUAAUAACCCACUAUUUUUCUUAUAUAUCCCACCUACUCCAACCAAACACUAUUUUAUUUAUAUCUGGACUAAACUCAAUUCUCAAUCAAACACAAAAUUACUCUAACCACACCUUAACCCUGAACUUAACUCUAUUCCCGGAAUAACUAGUUAUUACUUAACCCCGAACCAAACGAAGUCAUAGGGACUUAAAAAAAAUCCUUAUUUAAAGGGAUGGGUCUUGAAUGUUGGAAUCACAAGUUUGAGGACCAAUGAAACUUGACUCAAAAAUGUUCGGAGACUAAUAGGGCAUCUUUCUCGAUGUAUUAAAGUUGAAAUAUAUGAAGACCCCUCAUCUAUAGGACAUUCUGAAAUUGCGCCCUCAACUUUAAUAUUUUUGAUUGGGACCCACUCGACUUCUAUUUUUUUGGAGUUAUUAUCUCAUACACCAGCAAAAGUACAUUUCAUGAAGUUAAUUUAAGAAAAUAGAGUACAGGAGCCUCAUAUAAACCAGUAAGUUCUAAAACCACAUAAUAAAAAAUCAUGUGAUAUAACCAAAUUGGAUGCUAUCCUAAAAUCUAUACAUAGUCUAAUAACUUGUUAAGAUUUUAGAACCAUCUUUUAAGUACACAUUUGGCUGCGCAUUUUGCGCGCAGUUUAGUGUGCAAACCUAUGUGUGGAACUCUUUAAUUAUGAAGAUGCAAACUAAACCCAAUGUUAAGUUCCUGGGAACUAUGUAGAUCUGAGAUGGGCCUGCAUUAAUUGGAUUUUGGACCCAAUAUAUAGAAGCAGUUUCCUCAGUUAGCUAUACAAGGUAGAUGCAUUGUUGCGCGUUAUUAACAAACAGUAUUUUUUCGCUCAUUCAAUUUUUUUGCUCAGUAAUAUCGUGAAUUUGAUUCUCACCUUCAAUUAGUGGGAAAGAGUAAGAUGCCGUCCAAAUAUAGUCCUGAAAUGUCUUUAUUGUUUCAACUUCAAAGAUACAAUGCAUGUGGAAUGAUUAGAGAUUCACGAGCAAUUUUGAUACGAAGAGCCACACCAUAUCCAAUGAUUAGACCUUCGCAAAUGAAGCCAUUAAGUAUUAUUGUGUGUUGCAGAAUUAUUUGGCCUAGCUAGGAUGGUCGGAGCAUUUAAAAAAAAUUGUUUUUUUUUGCAAAACUACUAGUAAAUUUUUAUGAAAUAACAUUUAUAACAGUAAUUGUCUAAUAGUAAUGAAUAUUUUCAGGUUACCUCGUAAAUAAUUAAUUAUUUUUCAGCACGGAGUAGCAGCUCAAAAAACCAAAAGAUAUUUACUAGCUUAGUUUUGCGUGAGAAAUAUUAUACACACUACAUAGUAUCGUCACAAUCAUUUUUCUUCAUUUUUUUUCGGUUUAUUAUUAUGUUUUUUUAUCUUACCCGCAUAUGUAUUAAACCGAAGAUUAAGAAUACAAACCUUAAAUUUAGGCCCAUAUAGUGACUUGAAUCCCUAAAAGUGCUUAAUUUCGUGAAAAAUAUUUUGUUUCGUAAUAAUUAUACAGUAUGAAAUGUACCUUAAACCAAUUAAUUCCAUUCUAUCCCAUGGAUAGCAAGGUAUCUAAUUAAGAACAAUCUAAUUUUUUAUAUUAAAUUAAUGUGUAAAAUUUUUUGCUUUUUUACUUUAAAAUAACUUGAAAAUCUUUGAUUGAUUAUUGUUAUUUCUAUAUAAAAUAAUUGUGUUAGACUGAUCGUUUCUAACACAAGCGGUAAAAGACUUAAUGAUUGGUAUUCGAGAAUCCAGAUUCGAAAAUAUCUCGAUUCGAAACUUAAUUAGCAGCUUUAUAUUUUCAGCUAAGUUUAUUUAUUUUAAAAAAAUUUAAUAGAUAUCCAAAUAGGCUCUUACUAUCGUGCAACUUUAGAUUCUUGGCUCUAGUAUAAAAUUUUCAAUGCAAACGGGGGCUCAAACUUCCGAUCUGAAAGU